GGGCUUGUAGCUCAGCUAGGUAGAGCAAUCGGCUCUUAACCGAUUGGCCAGGGGUUCGAAUCCCCUCAAGCCCG
Non-coding RNA from Thermoplasmatales archaeon SG8-52-1, 74 nucleotides. Lineage: Archaea; Methanobacteriati; Thermoplasmatota; Thermoplasmata; Thermoplasmatales. The record is from Rfam.